Oryza glaberrima (African rice) is the source of this 203-nucleotide non-coding RNA. NCBI's taxonomy places the organism in Eukaryota, Viridiplantae, Streptophyta, Magnoliopsida, Poales, Poaceae. The record is from Rfam.
UAUAAGGGAUUUUGAGUUUUUGCUUGUAACGUUUGACCACCCGUCUUAUUCAAAAAAUUUUGAAAUUAUUAAUUAUUUUAUUUGUGACUUACUUUAUUAUCUAUAGUACUUUAAGCACAACUUUUUGUUUUUUAUAUUUGCAAAAGAAAUUUGAAUAAGACGAGUGGUCGAACGUUGCAAGCAAAAACUGAAAAUCCCUUAUA